Pezoporus flaviventris is the source of this 1001-nucleotide long non-coding RNA. RefSeq lists it as uncharacterized. The transcript has 3 exons. Lineage: Eukaryota; Metazoa; Chordata; Aves; Psittaciformes; Psittacidae. The record is from RefSeq and is a predicted model, not a curated record.
AUAAUUGUGUUCUUUUCACAGUAACAUUUGUAACAGUGAGCAAAUUCUCUUAAGUUGCAGUUGUCUGUAUGACCGGUUUUAUUUAUUUGCCCUGUAUCAAUUUGCCUUAAUUUUACACAGAUCUGUGACAACAUUAAACUGGGAGAAAUAGAUUCUAUAGGAAAUGUCAGGGGAGUUAAGGGAAUCAGCCCCUUUUCCUAGCUAGGUUAUAACUCUUACUUCAUGGCUCUAUAAGUACUUUGAAUGAGAUGCUGACAGUGUUUCUAACAGUCAUUAACCCUGGCCUUCCCUGGAGUAAUUAAGUGAUUGUCAGAAGCAAACACUAAAUAUGCUUGAAAAGCCGCCAUGCUAUUAUAGAAAUGAGUACACAUAUGCUUCAGACGUAGACUUUUGUUUGAAGUAGUACUCCUUUGCAUAGGAACCAGUAAUACUCUCAGCAGAAAACCUAGUGAGCUUCUACUGCAUUACUAAGCAUGUCAUGAGCAAAACAAAAUGCUUCUGUAAAUUUUUUUGUUUAAAACGUUUUCCAAGAAAAACUAACAAAACUGACCUCAGUAAAAAAAAACAGAGUUUGACCCUGCAAAUGUGUUACUGUAUUUAAGUGAGCAACAUGUCACUUAUUUCUGAAAUAUCAAGUUUGUUUUAUUUUAGCCUGCAAAUUCACAGAGAAGCAUGAAUGGAUAUCUGUUGAAAAUGGCAUUGGAACAGUAGGAAUCAGCAGUUUUGCACGGGAAGCAUUAGGAGAUGUUGUUUACUGUAGUCUUCUAGAAAUUGGGACAAAAUUGAGUAAAAAUGAGAGAGCUCUUUUGCUAGUAUAUGAAGAGGUUGCAGAAAAAGAACAUAGAGUUACUGAGGUAAAGUAGCAGGCCUUUCUUUUUGCCAUCCUCCUUUGUGGAAUAGGUUCAUAGUGAACUGUUUUGGCCAGUUCUAGUACAUCACAUUGAAUGGUGAAUGUUAAAGAAAAGGUCUUUCUGUUUAGGGUUUUAAUUAACCAACUUGUA